ACACGGACCAAGGAGUGCAACAUGCGUGCGAGUCUUUGGGUGUCAAACCCAGCGGCACAAUGAAAGUGAAGGCAGGCGUUGGUCUGCUUAGGMGAGAGUCUUCGCACGGAGACACAUCGUCGACCGAUCCCAGGUCACGCUGUGGCGGGAUUUGAGUGAGAGCGUGCCUGUUGCGACCCGAAAGAUGGUGAACUAUGCCUGAAUAGGGUGAAGCCAGAGGAAACUCUGGUGGAAGCUCGUAGCGAUUCUGACGUGCAAAUCGAUCGUCAAAUUUGGGUAUAGGGGSGAAAGASUAAUCGAACCAUCUAGUAGCUGGUUCCCUCYGAAGUUUCCCUCAGGAUAGCUGGAGCCCGGUGCASUUUUAUCAGGUAAAGCGAAUGAUUAGAGGUCUUGGGGKUGAAACAACCUCAACCUAUUCUCAAACUUUAAAUGGGUAAGAAGCUUGGCUUGCUUAAWWGAARUCAGGCAUUGAAUGCCGGGGCUCCAAGUGGGCCAUUUUUGGUAAGCAGAACUGGCGAUGUGGGAUGAACCAAAUGCUGGGUUAAGGUGCCCGAAUCAACGCUCAUCAGAUACCAUGAAAGGUGUUGGUUGAUCUAGACAGCAGGACGGUGGCCAUGGAAGUCGGAAUCCGCUAAGGAGUGUGUAACAACU
RNAcentral lists this ribosomal RNA (651 nucleotides) under Suberites pagurorum. RNAcentral describes it as "eukaryotic LSU rRNA". It matches the Rfam family "Eukaryotic large subunit ribosomal RNA", at positions 659 to 1290 of the family's 3401-position model. Lineage: Eukaryota; Metazoa; Porifera; Demospongiae; Suberitida; Suberitidae. The record is from RNAcentral.